UCAACUCCGACGGAGUGACAAGGAACUUCUACCCUGGUGAUAAACUUCAAUUGUGGCACGACGAAUUGGAGCCGCAGCAUUCGUUAUUGGAUAUACUGAACGCUCCUAGUCCUGAACCGAUGAACAUUUAAUCAAUGGGAGUCAGCUGCCUUUUCAGUAAUCAAAUGGGAGUCACCUGACUUUCUAGUUUUAGGUUGUAUUCAGCUGAAGGGCUUGUUCUUACUGCAUUUAUUUUCUA
Molecule: long non-coding RNA, 238 nt
Filed under: Gossypium raimondii (Peruvian cotton)
Lineage: Eukaryota; Viridiplantae; Streptophyta; Magnoliopsida; Malvales; Malvaceae
Description: long non-coding RNA (GRAI_LNC010953)
Source: RNAcentral